GGGGGCGUAAAGGUUUCGACGGGGAUUUUGAACCGAUAAAAGCGAGCAGCGGUGCGGAACCGCUAAAAAAUCCGCAAUUAUAAAUUAACUAACAACAAUAAAGUUGCUUUAGCCGCCUGAUUUAGGCGACCGUCCGACAGGAGAUUACCGCGACUCCUUGAGGGCGUCACUUAGCGGUGAACGUGAAUGCCGGAAUUGGCUCUACGCCGGUAUCAUGAAUUAAGAGCCUAUUGAAAAUUCCGCCUGACAACCGGCUGAUUUUUCGAGAAAUUUGUAGAUUGUCUGCGCUCGGAGAUGUUAUUGGGAAUUGAUUUUCGGACGGGAGUUCGACUCUCCCCGCCUCCACCA
Molecule: transfer-messenger RNA, 348 nt
Filed under: bovine gut metagenome
Rfam family: transfer-messenger RNA
About the family: Bacterial tmRNA, also known as 10Sa RNA or SsrA, is named for its dual tRNA and mRNA-like properties. Its role is to liberate the mRNA from a stalled ribosome.
Source: RNAcentral